AUUGAACGCUGGCGGCAGGCCUAACACAUGCAAGUCGAGCGGAUGAAGGGAGCUUGCUCCUGGAUUCAGCGGCGGACGGGUGAGUAAUGCCUAGGAAUCUGCCUGGUAGUGGGGGAUAACGUCCGGAAACGGGCGCUAAUACCGCAUACGUCCUGAGGGAGAAAGUGGGGGAUCUUAGGACCUCACGCUAUCAGAUGAGCCUAGGUCGGAUUAGCUAGUUGGUGGGGUAAAGGCCUACCAAGGCGACGAUCCGUAACUGGUCUGAGAGGAUGAUCAGUCACACUGGAACUGAGACACGGUCCAGACUCCUACGGGAGGCAGCAGUGGGGAAUAUUGGACAAUGGGCGAAAGCCUGAUCCAGCCAUGCCGCGUGUGUGAAGAAGGUCUUCGGAUUGUAAAGCACUUUAAGUUGGGAGGAAGGGCAGUAAGUUAAUACCUUGCUGUUUUGACGUUACCAACAGAAUAAGCACCGGCUAACUUCGUG
Molecule: ribosomal RNA, 484 nt
Filed under: uncultured bacterium
Lineage: Bacteria
Description: partial 16S ribosomal RNA
Rfam family: Bacterial small subunit ribosomal RNA
Source: RNAcentral